This 461-nucleotide ribosomal RNA is filed under the name uncultured bacterium. Its description in RNAcentral is "bacterial SSU rRNA". It matches the Rfam family "Bacterial small subunit ribosomal RNA", at positions 28 to 507 of the family's 1533-position model. The record is from RNAcentral.
GACGAACGCUGGCGGCACGCCUAACACAUGCAAGUCGAACGGAGAAUUUAGGUUUACUUGAAUUCUUAGUGGCGGACGGGUGAGUAACACGUGAGCAACCUGCCUUUGAGAGAGGGAUAAUUUCUGGAAACGGAUUGUAAUACCUCAUAACAUAGCGAAAUCGCAUGAUUAUGCUAUCAAAGAUUUAUCACUCAAAGAUGGGCUCGCGUCUGAUUAGAUAGUUGGUGAGGUAACGGCUCACCAAGUCGACGAUCAGUAGCCGGACUGAGAGGUUGAACGGCCACAUUGGGACUGAGACACGGCCCAGACUCCUACGGGAGGCAGCAGUGGGGAAUAUUGCACAAUGGGGGAAACCCUGAUGCAGCGAUGCCGCGUGGAGGAAGAAGGUUUCGGAUUGUAAACUCCUGUCUUAAAGGACGAUAAUGACGGUACUUUAGGAGGAAGCUCCGGCUAACUACGUG